This 687-nucleotide ribosomal RNA is filed under the name uncultured archaeon. RNAcentral describes it as "bacterial SSU rRNA". It matches the Rfam family "Archaeal small subunit ribosomal RNA", at positions 78 to 768 of the family's 1478-position model. The record is from RNAcentral.
GUGGCAUACGGCUCAGUAACACGUAGUCAACAUGCCCAGGGGACGUGGAUAACCUCGGGAAACUGAGGAUAAACCGCGAUAAGUCACUACUUCUGGAAUGGGUAAUGACUUAAAUCUAUAUGGCCCCUGGAUUGGACUGCGGCCGAUCAGGCUGUUGGUGAGGUAAUGGCCCACCAAACCUGUAACCGGUACGGGCUCUGAGAGGAGGAGCCCGGAGAUGGGCACUGAGACAAGGGCCCAGGCCCUAUGGGGCGCAGCAGGCGCGAAACCUCUGCAAUAGGCGAAAGCCUGACAGGGUUACUCUGAGUGAUUUCCGUUAAGGAGAUCUUUUGGCACCUCUAAAAAUGGUGCAGAAUAAGGGGUGGGCAAGUCUGGUGUCAGCCGCCGCGGUAAUACCAGCACCCCGAGUGGUCGGGACGUUUAUUGGGCCUAAAGCAUCCGUAGCCGGUUCUGCAAGUCUUCCGUUAAAUCCACCUGCUUAACAGAUGGGCUGCGGAAGAUACUAUAGAGCUAGGAGGCGGGAGAGGCAAGCGGUACUCGAUGGGUAGGGGUAAAAUCCGUUGAUCCAUUGAAGACCACCAGUGGCGAAGGCGGCUUGCCAGAAUGCGCUCGACGGUGAGGGAUGAAAGCUGGGGGAGCAAACCGGAUUAGAUACCCGGGUAGUCCCAGCUGUAAACGAUGCAGACU